AUACGGAGGGUGCGAGCGUUAAUCGGAAUUACUGGGCGUAAAGGGUGCGUAGGCGGCUUGAUAAGUCGGAUGUGAAAGCCCCGGGCUUAACCUGGGAAUUGCAUUCGAUACUGUCAGGCUAGAGUAUGUCAGAGGUUGGCGGAAUUCCUGGUGUAGCGGUGAAAUGCGUAGAUAUCAGGAGGAACACCAGUGGCGAAGGCGGCUAACUGGGGCAAUACUGACGCUGAGGCACGAAAGCGUGGGGAGCAAACAGGAGUAGAAACCCUAGUAGUCC
Molecule: ribosomal RNA, 274 nt
Filed under: uncultured bacterium
Lineage: Bacteria
Description: partial 16S ribosomal RNA
Rfam family: Bacterial small subunit ribosomal RNA
Source: RNAcentral